GAUGAAGAACGUAGCGAAAUGCGAUAAGUAAUGUGAAUUGCAGAAUUCAGUGAAUCAUCGAGUCUUUGAAUGCACAUUGCGCCCCCUGGUAUUCCGGGGGGCAUGCCUGUCCGAGCGUCAUUGCCGCCCUCAAGCACGGCUUGUGUGUUGGGCCCCCGCCCCCCGGCUUCGGGGGGCGGGCCCGAAAGGCAGCGGCGGCACCGCGUCCGGUCCUCGAGCGUAUGGGGCUUCGUCACCCGCUCUGUAGGCCCGGCCGGCGCCCGCCGGCGACCCCAAUCAAUCUUUCCAGGUUGACCUCGGAUCAGGUAGGGAUACCCGCUGAACUUAAGCAUAUCAAUAAGCGGAGGA
Molecule: unclassified non-coding RNA, 348 nt
Filed under: soil metagenome
Description: partial contains 5.8S ribosomal RNA, internal transcribed spacer 2, and large subunit ribosomal RNA
Rfam family: 5.8S ribosomal RNA (bases 1-120)
Source: RNAcentral